UACGAAGGGGGCUAGCGUUGUUCGGAAUUACUGGGCGUAAAGCGCACGUAGGCGGAUUGUUAAGUUAGGGGUGAAAUCCCCAGGGCUCAACCCUGGAACUGCCUUUAAUACUGGCAAUCUCGAGUCCGAGAGAGGUGAGUGGAAUUCCGAGUGUAGAGGUGAAAUCGUAGAUAUUCGGAGGAACACCAGUGGCGAAGGCGGCUCACUGGCUCGGUACUGACGCUGAGGUGCGAAAGCGUGGGGGAGCAAACAGGG
Molecule: ribosomal RNA, 255 nt
Filed under: uncultured bacterium
Lineage: Bacteria
Description: partial 16S ribosomal RNA
Rfam family: Bacterial small subunit ribosomal RNA
Source: RNAcentral